RNAcentral lists this long non-coding RNA (526 nucleotides) under Olea europaea subsp. europaea. The record is from RNAcentral. Lineage: Eukaryota; Viridiplantae; Streptophyta; Magnoliopsida; Lamiales; Oleaceae.
CUUAAGAAAACCACCCACAGUCACUUGUUUUCUGAUUUUUUAUUAUAACUUCCAGUCUUGUCACUACAACAAAAAAGCGUUUUUGCAACAUGUAAAAGGCAACAUUCAUUAAUUAAAUAUUGCGAAAAGGUAUAUUGCAAUAUUCUAAUAAAAAUUAUCUUACCCAUUAUCUUUAGCGUCAUCCCAGCCCGUAAUAUCCCAAUUCUGGAAUGUUGUCCCUCUUAAUGAAUAUUCUUUCCUAUUGUCUUUGCUAUUGCAAUCAUCCCAGGAAUCAUAACUGACAGAGUUAAAUUGUUUAGCAGAUGAUUGCUGUGCCACAUUUGAAGAAUUCCAUCCUUUAGACUGUGACUACUGUCCAAAUUCCUGAUAGUAACCGGUUAUCUCAUUUUCAUUUUGUUAUUAGCCAUCAUUAUUCCAGUCAGAGGCUUCUUUAGUGUACUCCUCAAGCUUUUGUGAAGAGUAAGCAAUUACUUCUUUCAUUAGUCCCCAUGUCUUAUAACUAAUCUUUGGAAUUUUUACAGUUACA